RNAcentral lists this ribosomal RNA (896 nucleotides) under uncultured eukaryote. RNAcentral describes it as "bacterial SSU rRNA". It matches the Rfam family "Eukaryotic small subunit ribosomal RNA", at positions 142 to 1043 of the family's 1831-position model. The record is from RNAcentral.
GAUAACUGUAGUAAUUCUAGAGCUAAUACACGCACCAAAGCCCAGACCUUACGGAACGGGCGCAUUUAUUAGACCAAAACCAAUCGGGUUCCGGCCCGUCUUUGGUGACUCUGAAUAACUACGCUGAGUGCACGGUCCUCGAACCGGCACCAUAUCUUUCAAGUGUCUGCCUUAUCAACUGUCGAUGGUAGUUCACGUGACUACCAUGGUUGUAACGGGUAACGGAGAAUAAGGGUUCGACUCCGGAGAGGGAGCCUGAGAAAUGGCUACCACAUCCAAGGAAGGCAGCAGGCGCGCAAAUUACCCACUCUCAGAACGAGGAGGUAGUGACGAAAAAUAACGAGACGGUUCUCUUUGAGGUCCGUCAUCGGAAUGGGUACAAUCUAAACCCAUUAACGAGUAUCAAUUGGAGGGCAAGUCUGGUGCCAGCAGCCGCGGUAAUUCCAGCUCCAAUAGCGUAUAUUAAAGUUGUUGCGGUUAAAAAGCUCGUAGUUGGAUCUGCAGACUCGGAUGCCGGUCGACCUUCACGGUUCGCACUGGUACUCCAGGCCUAAUCGGCCGGUUGACCCUUGGUGCUCUUAACCGGGUGCCUUGGGCGACCAGCACGUUUACUUUGAAAAAAUUUGAGUGCUCAAAGCAGGCUCAUUGCCUGAAAAUUCGUGCAUGGAAUAAUAGAAUAGGACCUCGGGUUCUAUUUUGUUGGCUUUCAGAGCACGAGGUAAUGAUUAAGAGGGACAGACGGGGGCAUUCGUACUGCUACGUUAGAGGUGAAAUUCUUGGAUCGUAGCAUGACGAACUACUGCGAAAGCAUUUGCCANNAUGUUUUCAUUAAUCANAACGAAAGUUAGAGGUUCGAAGNGAUCAGAUACCGCCCUAGUUCUAACCGUAACGAUGCC